GAUGAACGCUGGCGGCGUGCCUAAUACAUGCAAGUAGAACGCUGAAGGAGGAGCUUGCUCUUCUGGAUGAGUUGCGAACGGGUGAGUAACGCGUAGGUAACCUGCCUGGUAGCGGGGGAUAACUAUUGGAAACGAUAGCUAAUACCGCAUGACAACAGUUAUUGCAUGAUAACUGUUUAAAAGGGGCAACUGCUCCACUACCAGAUGGACCUGCGUUGUAUUAGCUAGUUGGUGAGGUAACGGCUCACCAAGGCGACGAUACAUAGCCGAACUGAGAGGGUGAUCGGCCACACUGGGACUGAGACACGGCCCAGACUCCUACGGGAGGCAGCAGUAGGGAAUCUUCGGCAAUGGACGGAAGUCUGACCGAGCAACGCCGCGUGAGUGAGGAAGGUUUUCGGAUCGUAAAGCUCUGUUGUAAGAGAAGAACGAGUGUGAGAGUGGAAAGUUCACACUGUGACGGUAUCUUACCAGAAAGGGACGGCUAACUACGUG
Molecule: ribosomal RNA, 495 nt
Filed under: uncultured bacterium
Lineage: Bacteria
Description: partial 16S ribosomal RNA
Rfam family: Bacterial small subunit ribosomal RNA
Source: RNAcentral